RNAcentral lists this ribosomal RNA (424 nucleotides) under uncultured prokaryote. Its description in RNAcentral is "bacterial SSU rRNA". It matches the Rfam family "Bacterial small subunit ribosomal RNA", at positions 355 to 796 of the family's 1533-position model. The record is from RNAcentral.
UGGGGAAUCUUAGACAAUGGGCGCAAGCCUGAUCUAGCCAUGCCGCGUGAGUGAAGAAGGCCCUAGGGUCGUAAAGCUCUUUCGCCUGUGAAGAUAAUGACGGUAGCAGGUAAAGAAACCCCGGCUAACUCCGUGCCAGCAGCCGCGGUAAUACGGAGGGGGUUAGCGUUGUUCGGAAUUACUGGGCGUAAAGCGCGCGUAGGCGGGCUGGAAAGUUGGGGGUGAAAUCCCGGGGCUCAACCCCGGAACUGCCUCCAAAACUGUCAGCCUAGAGGUCGAGAGAGGUGAGUGGAAUUCCGAGUGUAGAGGUGAAAUUCGUAGAUAUUCGGAGGAACACCAGUGGCGAAGGCGGCUCACUGGCUCGAUACUGACGCUGAGGUGCGAAAGUGUGGGGAGCAAACAGGAUUAGAUACCCCCGUAGUCC